CCUACGGGUGGCAGCAGUGAGGAAUAUUGGUCAAUGGGCGCGAGCCUGAACCAGCCAAGUCGCGUGAGGGAAGACGGUCCUAUGGAUUGUACACCUCUUUUGUCGGGGAGCAAAAGCCGCCACGCGUGGCGUUCCGAGAGUACCCGAAGAAAAAGCAUCGGCUGACUCCGUGCCAGCAGCCGCGGUAAUACGGAGGAUGCGAGCGGUAUCCGGAUUUAUUGGGUUUAAAGGGUGCGCAGGCGGCAUAUCAAGUCAGCGGUAAAAGUGAGAGGCUCAACCGCUUCGAGCCGUUGAAACUGGUGUUCUUGAGUGAGUGAGAAGUAUGCGGAAUGCGUGGUGUAGCGGUGAAAUGCAUAGA
This 358-nucleotide ribosomal RNA is filed under the name uncultured bacterium. RNAcentral's name for it is "partial 16S ribosomal RNA". It matches the Rfam family "Bacterial small subunit ribosomal RNA", at positions 338 to 694 of the family's 1533-position model. The record is from RNAcentral.